UCCUGCCGUCUAACCCCCACCUCCCGGCCCACCCUCGGCCAUUGAGUACUCCCAAGCUUAGCCAAUCCCAAUGGGCCACAUAGCAAAAGCAGGGCUUAACAAUAGAAGAACCAGAUACUUCUCAACAUCAUUGUUGACUUUCCAAAGCAUGGCCAGCUUUCUAGUUCUUGCCAACAUUUCAAGACUUUGUGUGGGGGUGUAAAAAUAUGCCCUUAAAAUGAAGUGAUGAUGGAACCACAAUUAAAAUGUUAAUCAUAUGAAAG
Molecule: long non-coding RNA, 263 nt
Organism: Mastomys coucha (southern multimammate mouse)
Lineage: Eukaryota; Metazoa; Chordata; Mammalia; Rodentia; Muridae
Exons: 2
Source: RefSeq, a predicted model, not a curated record